Molecule: transfer RNA, 97 nt
Filed under: Actinoplanes digitatis
Lineage: Bacteria; Bacillati; Actinomycetota; Actinomycetes; Micromonosporales; Micromonosporaceae
Description: tRNA-Thr
Source: RNAcentral
CGCCGCCAUCGCCGGGAGCUGGGCGGCCAGCCCUGGUGAGGCGGGUGUCCCGCCGGGAAUCCGGUAGCCCUUGCGGUCGUAGCGCUGCGCGGCGUCC